This 484-nucleotide ribosomal RNA is filed under the name uncultured bacterium. Its description in RNAcentral is "bacterial SSU rRNA". It matches the Rfam family "Bacterial small subunit ribosomal RNA", at positions 30 to 507 of the family's 1533-position model. The record is from RNAcentral.
AUUGAACGCUGGCGGAAUGCUUUACACAUGCAAGUCGAACGGCAGCACGGGGGCAACCCUGGUGGCGAGUGGCGAACGGGUGAGUAAUACAUCGGAACGUGCCCAGUCGUGGGGGAUAACGUAGCGAAAGCUACGCUAAUACCGCAUACGAUCUACGGAUGAAAGCGGGGGAUCGCAAGACCUCGCGCGAUUGGAGCGGCCGAUGGCAGAUUAGGUAGUUGGUGGGGUAAAGGCUCACCAAGCCUUCGAUCUGUAGCUGGCCUGAGAGGACGACCAGCCACACUGGGACUGAGACACGGCCCAGACUCCUACGGGAGGCAGCAGUGGGGAAUUUUGGACAAUGGGCGAAAGCCUGAUCCAGCCAUUCCGCGUGCAAGAUGAAGGCCCUCGGGUUGUAAACUGCUUUUGUACGGAACGAAACGGCCUUUUCUAAUACAGAGGGCUAAUGACGGUACCGUAAGAAUAAGCACCGGCUAACUACGUG